CCAGACUCCUACGGGAGGCAGCAGUGGGGAAUAUUGCAUAAUGGGGGAAACCCUGAUGCAGCGACGCCGCGUGAAGGAAGAAGUAUUUCGGUAUGUAAACUUCUAUCAGCAGGGAAGAAAGUGACGGUACCUGACUAAGAAGCCCCGGCUAACUACGUGCCAGCAGCCGCGGUAAUACGUAGGGGGCAAGCGUUAUCCGGAUUUACUGGGUGUAAAGGGAGCGUAGGCGGCGAUGCAAGUCAGAAGUGAAAGCCCGGGGCUCAACCCCGGGACUGCAUUUGGAACUGCGUGGCUUGAGUGUCGGAGAGGCAGGCGGAAUUCCUAGUGUAGCGGUGAAAUGCGUAGAUAUUAGGAGGAACACCAGUGGCGAAGGCGGCCUGCUGGACGAUGACUGACGUUGAGGCUCGAAAGCGUGGUGAGCAAACAGGAUUAGAUACCCGAGUAG
RNAcentral lists this ribosomal RNA (445 nucleotides) under uncultured bacterium. RNAcentral describes it as "bacterial SSU rRNA". It matches the Rfam family "Bacterial small subunit ribosomal RNA", at positions 331 to 793 of the family's 1533-position model. The record is from RNAcentral.